UGGGGAACAUUGGACAAUGGGCGAAAGCCUGAUCCAGCCAUGCCGCGUGUGUGAAGAAGGUCCUCGGAUUGUAAAGCACUUUAAGUUGGGAGGAAGGGCAUUAACCUAAUACGUUGGUGUCUUGACGUUACCGACAGAAUAAGCACCGGCUAACUCUGUGCCAGCAGCCGCGGUAAUACAGAGGGUGCAAGCGUUAAUCGGAAUUACUGGGCGUAAAGCGCGCGUAGGUGGUUUGUUAAGUCGAAUGUGAAAUCCCCGGGCUCAACCUGGGAACUGCAUCCAAAACUGGCAAGCUGGGGAAUGGUGGAGGGUAGUGGAGUUUCCUGGGUAACGGUGAAAGGCGUGAAUAUAGGAAGGAAAACCAGUGGCGAAGGCGACUACCUGGACAGAUACUGACACUAGGGUGCGAAAGCGUGGGGGGCAAACA
RNAcentral lists this ribosomal RNA (427 nucleotides) under uncultured bacterium. Its description in RNAcentral is "bacterial SSU rRNA". It matches the Rfam family "Bacterial small subunit ribosomal RNA", at positions 355 to 774 of the family's 1533-position model. The record is from RNAcentral.